UUUUUGAGAAUUUGAUCCUGGUUCAGGAUGAACGCUGGCGGUGUGCCUUAAGCAUGCAAGUCAAGGGGGCUCCGCAAGGAGCAACCGGCGGACGGGUGAGUAACGAGUAGGAAUCUCCCUCUAGGUGGAACAUAGCUUAUCGAAAGAUGGGGUAAUUUUCCAUAGUCAAUUUAUUGUAAAGCACUUAACUGUGCGCCAAGAGAUGAGCCUGCUUCCUAUCAGCUUGUUGGCGGGGUAAAUGCCCACCAAGGCAAUGACGGGUAGCUGGACUGAGAGGUCGAUCAGCCACAACUGCACUGAGACACGGGCAGUACACCUACGGGUGGCAGCAACUGGGAAUAUUGC
This 345-nucleotide ribosomal RNA is filed under the name Candidatus Levybacteria bacterium RIFCSPLOWO2_01_FULL_38_23. RNAcentral describes it as "bacterial SSU rRNA". It matches the Rfam family "Bacterial small subunit ribosomal RNA", at positions 1 to 367 of the family's 1533-position model. The record is from RNAcentral. Lineage: Bacteria; Candidatus Levyibacteriota.